Molecule: unclassified non-coding RNA, 3130 nt
Filed under: Leishmania donovani
Lineage: Eukaryota; Euglenozoa; Kinetoplastea; Trypanosomatida; Trypanosomatidae
Description: gene:LdHU3.32.2320(CDS-product:pumilio/PUF_RNA_bi nding_protein_7_putative)
Source: RNAcentral
CCACUGCACCUUCAGCAUCCUCACUGAGGCCCCUCCCCCGUUUCCCGCAAAGAGAGGCGCCUAGACAGCGCACUGCGUCGCGGCUGCACGAUUUCGCGUUCGGCUUUGCUCUCUUCUUUUUCCCACACGCAAAGAGAAACACACGCGCCCACCAGCCAUGCCGGGAAUGAAGCUGGAUUUUCUCAAGAACACCGCGCAGCGCGUGGCGAUGGGGAAGUCGCUGCCGCUGAAACAGGUGGAGGCGAUUGUGCUGUACGGCAAGCCGGCGCAGCGGGCCAAGGUGGUGCAGAAGCUCCUUCCAGCCGUCUAUGGACUCUCUCUCAACAAGACGACGCAUCACAUUCUCCUGACGCUCUUGGACCACUGCGAGAACAUGGAUCGCGUAAAAAUGCUCUACCACGUGCGUAGGAAGCUACUGGACCUGGCCCAGUCGCCGGUGGGAAACUCCGUGCUGCAGCGCAUGCUGGAAAAGGUCCCGGUGCGCCAGAAGAAGGAGAUCGCUGAGGCGUUCGUGCUGAACGUGGACGAGGACGAGUUCAGGCGCCUCUGCGAGCAUCCGUUUGGCAACCACGUGGCGCAGAAGUUAAUGGAGGUGCCGGCGUGCGUCGAAGUGGUGCUUCCACAUUUUCUACCGCACCUGACGAGCCUCAGUCUCCAUCCAUAUGGCAUGCGCGUGGUGGCCAAGUACGUCGAGUGUGUCGCUGACGGGUGCAGCAAAACGAUUGAGGCGCUCUUUCCAUCUUACGCGAAGGCAGACCCAGAAGGCGAUGAUGCCGCGGUGGCAGCCUCUGACGCGCUCGACAAGUCCGUUUUAGCGCUCUUCCGCUCCGCCGAGGAGUCGCUCGUGCUCACAGCGUUGCUGCGUCACAUUCGCACGCCGGUCGAGGUAAAGGACGCGAUUGCGGCACACGUGAGCGAGUUCGCGGCGGACUACCUGCUGCCCGCCUCGGCACCGCUGGAAGGCCUGGCUAAGAAACGCGGUAGCGAUGAAGACGAGUACGGGUUGCCCGACUUCGGCACUGGCUCCAUCUCUGCGAAAUCUGUAGCGGCCACCGACAUACCUGCGAAUGUCCAUGUCUACUGUGCGGUUCUCGAGCACGGUGACGAUGUGCAACGCGCCGACUUGUGGUCGGCGCUAUCUGCAAGCGCCGACAUUCUGCACGCCAUCACGCACACGAAGGGGGCGGUGCUCGUGGGCGUGGCGGCCGUGCGUUUUGUGGAGGCGGCGCGCAAGGGGCUGUUUGAUGCCAUGCUGUUGUCGACUCCUGCAGGCGCGCAGUCCAACGGUAGGGACGCGGGGUCGAGUACGGCUGGUGCGGCGGACACGACUGCCACUUCGAGACCCGACAAGAAGGGCCCCAAGAAAAAGAAGGCAACGAAGAGCGACGAGGCGGAGCCAUCUAGCAACAAGGAUGUUGCCAGGAGCUCCAUUGUAGACGUCGCCACUGACCCGGUGCGGUCGGUUCUGCUGCGCGCCUUUGUCGAGGUUGCUCGCGACACCAUACCGGGGAAAGAUACCCAGCUCCUUGUGCACGACGCUGUCACACUCGCGCAAAACUCCGUCAGCUCCCCAGUGCUGCAGAAGAUGGUGGAGACCGACCUCACCGGCGGGUUUGCCAGCGACGUCCUGGCGGUACUGCUCAACUCUACCGAAUUCACGAGCCUCGUCACGCACCCCGCGGCAUCCUUCCUCUUGCAGUCGAUCCUUCAGUUUGCCCCGGAGGAGGUGCGGGCGCCGUUGGUGGCGGCGCUUUCGAGCUACUACGCGGCACACCUGCAUGACUCUCUCUCGUACGCGCAGGGCUCGCGUGUGAUGCAGAAGCUGCUAGCCUAUGCACCAGAUGCGACGGUGGUGCAGACAGUGAACCAGCUCAUCUCUGAGGCAACCAAGGAGGAGGAGAUGGAGGAGGCAAAGUGCACCGACGGCAGCUGCGCUGACGCGGUAGAUGAGGAGGGUGUGACCGAUACGGGGGAGAAAAAAGAGGUGAAGAGGGUGAGCCGCAAGGAGCAACGGGAGCUGAACCGGGCCAAGCACUACGAGGUCCUCUCUCAUGCACUUGUCUCCUACGCCUUGCACACGCACGCGUGCUAUGUCGUACAGGCGCUGCUGCGAGAGGUGCGCACACGCCAGCUCGACCGCGAGCGCAAGCUGCUCAUGAACGAGCUGAAGCCGCACGUCUUCGAGCUGGCGGUCUCGCCGUGGGCCGGUCGCGUGGUGCUGGACACAAUGAUGUCCGUCGGCAGCGCACAGCUCGCAGACGCCAUGAAGAAUGUCGCCUUCAUGCGGGCAGAGGAGUGGCUGUCGGACGUUUCCGAGGAGAAGAAGCGCCGCGGCAACGGCGUUGACCCGACACUGCGCAACAUUCUGAAGCGCCAGCGCGAGGAGAUAGACAAGGGCGUGGAGUCGAAGGCUACGGAGGGAUCUAGCAGCGCCGAAGGGAAAUGCGCACCAGCGCACAAGAAGAAGAAACUCUUCCGCUCUAUGAAGAAGUAGGUGCAACGACCACAGCUGAAGGGGGUUUUCCUGCUGUGCUUAUCGAGUGUGAGCUAGUCCGCCUCACUACGGCUUGUGCGUACUUGGUGCCGGAACUCGCUUCCAUGCGAGUGCGCAAUCUGCUGGUGCCGGAAUGCAGCUGCUACAGCUCCAGUGAGGAUGAGCAAAGGAGGACGAAAGUCUGUGGGAGCUGGUGCAUUGAUCGCGUUGCCCACCCCCUCCCUGCCGAAAUUCUUGGUGCCCAGCCCUCUCUCUCUCGUUCGAUGUUGUCCGCUAUGCGUUCAGAGUCUCCCGUGGCGAGCUGAGGCCCGUGCGAAGGUGCUUGCUUGCGUGUCUGUCCUUUUUCUCCAUAUGAGUGCUUACGUAAGUCGGUCGAUCCCCUCUUUUCCAUUUUGUUUUCGGUUUCGUGUGGCUCACAAGUUCGAUUUAACUCAGCCACCGCUAAAGGAAGAAGCAGAAAAAAAAACGAUAGGUAAAGGUGUACGGAUGUAAUGUGCGACGUCUAAGUUGUCAAGUAUCAAAAGUCAAACUGCAAUGGCAUGAACGAACAAGAGAAAGCGCCCUUGUGCGGUUGAAAUCUCGUAGUCGUCGUCUUCCUCGCCCUCACGCUCCAUCAUGGCUGCGUGCGCACCUCAU